This 478-nucleotide ribosomal RNA is filed under the name uncultured bacterium. RNAcentral's name for it is "partial 16S ribosomal RNA". It matches the Rfam family "Bacterial small subunit ribosomal RNA", at positions 28 to 507 of the family's 1533-position model. The record is from RNAcentral.
GAUGAACGCUAGCGGCAGGCCUAACACAUGCAAGUCGAGGGAGAAGCCCUUUCGGGGGCCGAAACCGGCGCACGGGUGCGUAACGCGUAUGCAACCUACCUUUCACAGGGGGAUAGCCCGAAGAAAUUUGGAUUAAUACCCCAUAAUAUUAUUGGAUGGCAUCAUUUGAUAAUUAAAACUGCGGUGGUGAAAGAUGGGCAUGCGUCCUAUUAGCUAGUUGGAGUGGUAACGGCACCCCAAGGCUACGAUAGGUAGGGGUCCUGAGAGGGAGAUCCCCCACACUGGUACUGAGACAGGGACCAGACUCCUACGGGAGGCAGCAGUGAGGAAUAUUGGUCAAUGGUCGGAAGACUGAACCAGCCAUGCCGCGUGCAGGAAGAAUGCCUUAUGGGUUGUAAACUGCUUUUAUAUGGAAAGAAUAAGGCGUACGUGUACGUUGAUGACGGUACCAUAUGAAUAAGCAUCGGCUAACUCCGUG